Molecule: long non-coding RNA, 1992 nt
Organism: Aedes albopictus (Asian tiger mosquito)
Lineage: Eukaryota; Metazoa; Arthropoda; Insecta; Diptera; Culicidae
Exons: 3
Source: RefSeq, a predicted model, not a curated record
GUGGCGGUACCACGAAUAUUUGAAAUAGAAAAUGAAUUAAUAAAUAAAGUUGUACAGAAUUUGAACUAGUCCAUUGAAUUACCCCCUGUAUAUAGAUCACUCAAGUUGAGUGAAAUCGAAUUAGAGUUCAUGUGUUCAUUUGCUCCACUCCGCAUACCAAAAACAGAAUGAGUGCCCUGUGUAAUUCUGGCGCCGAGCGUAAAGCGACAGCCAAAUCUAAAAUCGAGUCUGUGCUUCGGGCAUCGACCGGGGUUCAAGUAUCGUUGACCCCUCAAUUCUUUUAUUGAUGUUCGGGAGGGAUACGAGUUGAUUGAUCGGGUCUUCAGAGGGAAAUGGAAUGCUUUCUCCGGACGGGUAGAGAAAGUGGUGUGUGUGAAGGCGAUUUUCGACCUUCGCGAAAUUCCACUUCGUGGAUUUCGCGUAAUUUCCGGCGACGAAGAUUUUCAUAUCUCGCGCCUAUUCUGAGGAUCUUAGAACUUGACUCGUCCACUUCGUUCUGGACUGCGGAAGAGGCGAGAUCGGUCCAAGUUUAGUCUACCGCGCCGUGGUGUGAAAGUUCAGUUAGCUUGUUAGGCAAGUUUAGUGCCGUAGUGCGAUUGUGCGAAAGGCGGUUUUUGAGUGCGAGUGUUGAACCUUGGAUGCGACAGGUUCGUGGCAAGUUGCGAGGCCCGUCACACCACACCAUCAAGUUAGCGACCGUUUUCGACCCCGCUUUCCAGCUUCGGAGUUUGGCCCGGCGAUACACGUGGGCCGGAGGGGCAGCGUCCGUCAAUACCGCGCCCUUGGCAGGGCGGCAACAUUCGAGUCCGGUUUCGUAUCGGCAACCAUACCGUGAUACAGUGAAGGAGUGAAGUUUCCGUGAAGAAAAGUUUUUGGAGUGAGCACCGACCGGUUUCGAACCGGAGUCCCCCGCGUGAGGAGCACGCUCGCUACCUCGACGCUACCGCUGGUGACGACCAGCGAGUCGACGGCUGUAUCCCGUCGGAAGACCACGAACCCCGUGUGAGGCGCCGUUGAACACGGCCACUGCAUGAUCCUGUAGGAGAAGCAGCAGGAGUCACCGCGUGUCAACCACGUGACCCGCCGCAGUAGCAACAAGCGACCGCCGAUGCCUCCACACAAGUAACGUUACAAACCGUGAGUACUCUUUUUUCUUUCCCAUGCGCAUGGUGAAUUUCGCCCCUAGUCUGGUCAAACCGCUAGCGUGGCCCCACCGAUCUUGUUUCCCGCGCCCUACCGUUCGCCCGCUUAUGCGACGUAGUCGGCUGCUAUAAAUUGCACGUUGUUCCGCCAAUGAACACCAACAGUCGCACCGCACAUUAGAUAAAUCAUUUUACCGCACAAAGAGAGAAGAGAGAGGUUAGAGAGCAAAGAGGGAAUGAAUAGAGCUAGGCCUACUGUGUAAGAUUGUAUCGAUAAAGCAGAAGUGAAUUGAGGUACAAAUAUAGAUCGAAAUGAAUUUGGGAUAGAUGUGGAAUUGGUAUUUUCGAUGCGUAAGAAUAAAUGAGUAGUUUGGGCAAAGUGGCGUUGAGUCGUUCUUUAGUGGGAGAAAUCUGAAGAGGUAGAUGUAGAAGGGCUUUCACGUUUCCGGUCGUUUUUUUUUCAGUUUUUAGGUCAUUUUCUGGGGAGGUUGGCCCUGAAUCCAACCAAAGGGACAUUUCUUCAAUCGAACGAAGAUUCGUUCGAGGUGUUUGGGUCUUGUUUUCCCGUGAUGAUAACCGUCGCGAGCCUUACUUUGUCGCCGGCGAAAAUCAAUUUCACGUACACCAAUUUCUUUAUUUGCACGACUUCGGUCGUGAGGCAUUUCGUUUCCCUGAUCAGCCAGCUCGUUUCCCGCCCAUUCAUUUGGGAAAAACUUGAACCCUACCCUGAAGGGUCUCAAUAAGGUCGGGCAACCAUCAAUCUCGGUAAGUGGUCUCCCUCGGGAGUGGCGCUUAAGCCAUUUUUACUUGUCACCGGGAAACUCGCAAGGCUGUCGGGUUACAUUUGGCG